This 253-nucleotide ribosomal RNA is filed under the name uncultured bacterium. Its description in RNAcentral is "partial 16S ribosomal RNA". It matches the Rfam family "Bacterial small subunit ribosomal RNA", at positions 524 to 776 of the family's 1533-position model. The record is from RNAcentral.
UACAGAGGGUGCGAGCGUUAAUCGGAAUUACUGGGCGUAAAGCGCGCGUAGGCGGCUUUGCAAGUCGGGUGUGAAAUCCCCAGGCUUAACCUGGGAACUGCAUUCGAGACUGCAUUGCUAGAGUAUGGGAGAGGGAAGUGGAAUUUCCGGUGUAGCGGUGAAAUGCGUAGAUAUCGGAAGGAACAUCAGUGGCGAAGGCGGCAUCCUGGACCGAGAUUGACGCUGAGGCGCGAAAGCCAGGGGAGCAAACGGG